Herpailurus yagouaroundi (jaguarundi) is the source of this 1120-nucleotide long non-coding RNA. RefSeq lists it as uncharacterized. The record is from RefSeq and is a predicted model, not a curated record. The transcript is spliced from 5 exons. NCBI's taxonomy places the organism in Eukaryota, Metazoa, Chordata, Mammalia, Carnivora, Felidae.
CAAAGUAAUGGAGCUGAGACCAUCCUGGAGCGGAGGCUACCACGGGCUGGUGUGGAUCCAGCCCCAGGGGGCUUGGGACUCCUGCAGCAUCUCAGCAGGAGCCCCGGGGUGGGCGGGCCUCUUUUAAGGUCUCUGGAGUGUUCUAUGGAGAAUGAGGCCUUGGAUUUGGUCUAGGAGGCUGGGAAAGGAGGUCUCGCUCCGAAUAUCGAGGAGGAGAAGGAUGACGAAGAGCAGGCCGUCUGUGUUUACCGUACUGCAGAGCCUGAGCUAAGUACCGUAUUUGUUAACGUGUGAGCGAUACCUCCACUCCCUAACACUAACAAAAAUUUGGUCUUUGCCGGUGAGCUUCUCUUCUCUCCUACCCUCUCAGGUCCUCCUGGCUACUGAGCUUCUGCAAAGUUUAAUUUUCAGACCCAUCCUGGGACCCUAUCAUUUAUCCAUAAAAGGCAUGGAAUCCUGACACGUGCUACGACAUGGAUUCCAAGUGAAAAAACAUCAUGCUAAGUGAAAGAAGCCAGAUGCAAAAGGACAAAUACUAUAGGAUUCUACUUACCUGAAAUACGUAGAACAGACACAUUUAUAGACACAGCUUAGACAACAGCCUCCGAGAGCCAACCAGAUUUUCUCCAAGACGAAGACCCACCCUGGCCAGCAUUCUACCACAGGAAUGAUUAAUCUGGGCUUUGGGGUCCACCAACCCCUCUUUGCUGUCUCCCUCUGGUGCUUCCCAUCCAAGAGCUAACAGGGAGCCCGCAGGGAAGCCCGCAACGUGGUUUGCAGAGUCUGAACUGCACAAGGCUGAGCCUGGAAGGGCAGGUUUGGAUCUGAGAGACGGCAAAAGACCCUGUGGGCAAGGCAUCCCUUGAUAGGAAACUAAACUACCCCCUCCAGCAGUUAAGUACCGCACUGAACCAGCAAGACCCUGCAUGACUGACCCCAAGACAAUGGCCGACCUGACCUUUACUGCCCGCCUGCACAUUCCCACCGACCUUUGCCCCACAUUUUCCUCAUAUAAACCUGGAAGUGUUUUCGGCACUUUGGAGACAGUCUUUGAGACUCUAGUCCACAGUCUUCCCGGUGCUGGCCUUGCUGAAAUAAAUUCCUUUCUUGUUUCACCACU